AAUCGACCUGGGACGUAAAAAAUUGUAAUCACAUAGUGAUGAGUUUGAACUUCAGUUUCAGCAUCUAGUUCUAUAGUGUAAAUCCAGUGGAAUGUCUGCUAGCCCUCCCCCCCCGCUCCACGUGUGGAACUGUGACGUCGAAAAAUUAAAGGAUUCUAUGAUGCAAAAUUUUCUCGUUACAUCUUCGUGUGACAAACGUUGGACAGAGACUGCUGAAACAGUGGGAAGUUGUUCUUUGGAAAACAACCAAAAUAACCGCCUGCUUGAGCUAAAUUGCAUAAAAUGUGACCGUAACCGGUUAGGAUCCUCAGAAACGCGAAAACAACAUGAAGAGUUGAGGUCGAUUCCAAAUGUUGUUCGAGUUAUUCGCUCACCAGGAGGCCAUGUCUUAGCUUUGUACCGUCAAUCAGAGGCACAGAAGCAAUUAUACAAGCGACACAGUAAUGUUCUCCUCAUCCAUUUGCUUCAUUCCGCCAAUGCUACCAAGACGUUAUUGGCUAUUUCCAUCGUCGAUAGUGAUAGCGGUGUAGAUUACACAGUUUGCCUCGUCACGUUACCGGUUCGUUUCCUUUCGGAAAUCGUCACACGCUGCUUGAGGAUGUUCAUAUCACAUAAUGAUCCUUCUGCCGUAAAAGCCGUUGUUGUGAAUCGAGAAGAGCUGUUACCCAAUGUAAGGAAAGCCUUCCCUAUGGCAGAUCAUUUAAUUUCAGAGAGUCGAAUGCUAGAACAGGUGUCAGAUGAAUUGUCGAAGUACGCAUUGGAACCAGACAUCCACAACCAGUACUGUAGUGCUUUCGCAGUUUGUUGUUCUACGUCCUGUGAAAAAGAAUUCGGCUAUGCAGAGGCAUCUCUGAUUUCAGCGCCAGGUGGAAUUGGCGUCUACUUUGAAACUACAUGGUUCGAGCAUACGGACAUUUGGAGAGCUAUCGAAAAUCUGCGUCGCAUAAAAAAAGGAUUAAAUUACGGAGAAGUAAGCAAACACCUUUACCGAAAGUUGGCUCAAACAAUGUUUUUUUAAAUGGCGUUGCCUGUCGAAGAUUUUUAUUGGAUGACUGAAUUCUUUUGCUGGUUCAGCGGUGAUAGUAGCUGUAACGGCAAAAAUAUCUCAACUUGUUAUGGAGAACUGUUAUUCUUCUGCAUAAAAACGUUGAGAUGAUGUACUGUACAUAACCACUUCCAACUGCUUUUGACCAAGAUCCUUCCUCUCUUCUCAAGUGUUUUUAUCUGUCGCAAUCGACAUGCGAUUUGUUUGACAGCAAAACUGUUUAGCUAUUAUCCCAAAAGGAUAUCAUCUUAUUUGUUUUGGUUUUCUUCUCUGUUUAACAAAUAUAAUUUUACUACAA
This 1343-nucleotide unclassified non-coding RNA is filed under the name Daphnia magna. RNAcentral describes it as "uncharacterized LOC116919789, transcript variant X1". Lineage: Eukaryota; Metazoa; Arthropoda; Branchiopoda; Diplostraca; Daphniidae. The record is from RNAcentral.